UGCCCACAUGCAUCUUCUGAGCUCGUGU
RNAcentral lists this non-coding RNA (28 nucleotides) under Homo sapiens (human). Lineage: Eukaryota; Metazoa; Chordata; Mammalia; Primates; Hominidae. The record is from RNAcentral.